Long non-coding RNA from Brassica rapa (field mustard), 1011 nucleotides. RefSeq lists it as uncharacterized. Lineage: Eukaryota; Viridiplantae; Streptophyta; Magnoliopsida; Brassicales; Brassicaceae. The record is from RefSeq and is a predicted model, not a curated record.
UGAAGUAAUUGUUGAAAAAUCUCUAUACAUAUGUUAUUUUAAAAUAACACUCAACUUCUAUAUAUAGUCAAUACAUAUGUGCAUGUUAUAUUCUAGACUAAAUAUUUUCUCUUUUAAAAAUAUAGAAAACAAUUUUUUUAGUCUACAAGCAAAUGUUGUAGAAUAAGUAUGCAUUAUACAAAAUAAUAUCCUACUAUAUAAAAGGAGCUAAUUUGAAAGCUCCUAAGCUAUGCCACAUAAGCAUAAAUAUUCUCAUCCAACCAAACUUACAAGUCAGCUACUCUUUUACUUUUUAGUGUAUUAUAAUUCUCAACCAAAUAUUAAGAGCAAAGCCACUUCCUGCCAUUCUGAAUAUCCGUCAUAACGUUCCUCCACCAUUAAACCCCUAAAUUGCUAUAAAUUUCCUAUGGAAACCUACCUCUUCAAAUAUUCUCCCUCUCUUUGUCUCCUCCACAUUAAGCUAAUUAAUGGGAAACAUCUCAACAACGUCAGAAUAUUAAGAACAUGGACGGAUCAACUCUUCAGCGAGAUUUGAUUCACCUAUAACUUAGAGAUCAGACACUUACGGUUACAUGGUACAAUCCAUUACGCGUUCUCUUAUGCUAUUAGUUGAUUGAUCUAUAUUUGUUAAUGGUAUGGUUUUAUUUUGGUACAGUUGCGUGUGGUUUUGAUUGCAUGAUUGUUUGAUUAGAAAAUGAUUGUAUAAGAGCGACAAUAGUGUGACAUCUGCAAGACACAUUGUUAAAGGCAGCAGUAACAAUCAGGUUCCCUCUGUUUGGUACGGUUCAGUACACCCGAACAUGAAAUGGUAUAAACUUAAUGCCGGCAAACCGACGUGAGAAGCUUCCAAAAGAGGAAUAAAUUGCUAUCCUAAGCCUCAUAGCAAACGACACCAGUCAAUUUUUUUAAAAUUUACGUUACAGCUUUCUACGUCAAUUAAAUAGGCACACUCAAAUACUAUUUUCUCUUACGAAUAUUAAAUUCAUCAACAUAAUUUAUUAUUCAAACUUA